Molecule: ribosomal RNA, 244 nt
Filed under: uncultured bacterium
Lineage: Bacteria
Description: partial 16S ribosomal RNA
Rfam family: Bacterial small subunit ribosomal RNA
Source: RNAcentral
GAUCCUGGCUCAGGAUGAACGCUGGCGGCGUGCUUAACACAUGCAAGUCGAGCGAAGCACUUUGCUUUGAUUUCUUCGGGAUGAAGAGCUUAGUGACUGAGCGGGCGGACGGGUGAAGGUAACGCGUGGGUAACCUGCCUCAUACAGGGGGAUAACAGUUAGAAAUGACUGCUAAUACCGCAUAAGGCCACAGCACCGCAUGGUGCAGGGGGUAAAAAACUCCGGUGGUAUGAGAUGGACCCCG